RNAcentral lists this ribosomal RNA (485 nucleotides) under uncultured bacterium. Its description in RNAcentral is "partial 16S ribosomal RNA". It matches the Rfam family "Bacterial small subunit ribosomal RNA", at positions 29 to 523 of the family's 1533-position model. The record is from RNAcentral.
AGUGAACGCUGGCGGCGUGCUUAACACAUGCAGGUCGAACGAGAACGGAAUAUAGCUUGCUAUAUUUGUCAGCUAAGUGGCGCACGGGUGAGUAAUGUAUAGAUAACCUGCCCUUAAGAAAGGAAUAACAGUUGGAAACGACUGCUAAUGCCCUAUAUGCCUUUAAUACAUAAGUAUGCAAGGGAAACGCUUUAGUGCUUAAGGAUGGGUCUGUAUGGUAUCAGCUUGUUGGUGAGGUAAUGGCUCACCAAGGCUAUGACGCCUAACUGGUUUGAGAGGAUGAUCAGUCACACUGGAACCGAGACACGGUCCAGACUCCUACGGGAGGCAGCAGUGGGGAAUAUUGCACAAUGGACGAAAGUCUGAUGCAGCAACGCCGCGUGGAGGAUGACACAUUUCGGUGCGUAAACUCCUUUUAUAUAGGAAGAUAAUGACGGUACUAUAUGAAUAAGCACGGGCUAACUCCGUGCCAGCCGCCGCCGUAA